This 331-nucleotide long non-coding RNA is filed under the name Citrus x clementina. Its description in RNAcentral is "Citrus clementina (C. clementina) long non-coding RNA (CCLE_LNC003908)". The record is from RNAcentral. Lineage: Eukaryota; Viridiplantae; Streptophyta; Magnoliopsida; Sapindales; Rutaceae.
UCCGAUCCCUCCCUGCACCUUGAAACGUGAUGUACGGUUUCGACACUGGCACCGUCACCUUCUCUCUGCACCGCAUCCACCAUAUCAGAACUCACAACUCAUUACGUGCAGUAACACACCACUAAUUUUCGUAAGAUUUGUUAUUAAUAUUAUUAUUGGUCUUACAUGUAACAACCUGCGCUAAUUUGAAUAAGCACGUUCAUUCUGUUUCUUUCAGGGACGGAAUCAACGGCAGCUUGGACCGAUUUGAACUCGCCGGACCCAUUAACAUCAACGGUGAUUACACGGUGGCCGACGGGUCCAAUCCACAUGUGAUGGUGCUUAGUAGAAU